CCAAAAUGUCCACAGUGCCCCACAAUUAGCCCUUGAAGUAGGUCAUCCAUUCCCUGACCCCAUAACUUGUUUACGUUCGUUCUGUAAAUAUAAGGGAUUAACUGAACCAAGAAACAAACCUGUUCAUGACGUGGAGAAAUGAGAACGUGUGAAAGUUACGACAAAAAGCAAAUUAGACUUGCAUUUUUCAAGGUAAUUUGGUCUUCGUAUCCAUGUUUGUGCAGAGCGACGAGUACAAAAAGUCGACAUGUUGGCGUAGAAGUAUGUUUUGCACGUCUUUGAAAGGCCUCUGAUCUGAGGAAAGCUGCGUUAUUUUACCGUGACGAAAUAUAUGAAACGUACAAUUAGGCUUAAAAGCUUAUUUGCAGCGUCAACUUUAAAUUAUUUGAAUUUCUCUCAAAAUACUCUCUUAAAUUCAUUUAACUGUUCAUCAAAAUUAGAUUUUCUGUUUUAACGAAAACAACUAGCCUCAGUACUUGUCCCUGCACAAAUUAUUACGUCAGAAGUUGUCGAGAGAAGGGAAGGGCCGUACGCCAGUCUGACUCGAAGGACGCAGAGGGGCUAUACAGUCUAGAUUUAUGAUGAUGACUUAUGACCCCAGGAAAAAAUACGAAGCCGAAAGUGCCUUCCGAUCGGCCCCUUUCAUUAACAGGAAGUGUCGAAGAGAAGUCUUGAUGAUAAAGAUAGCUGAUGUACAUAGAGUUUUCUGAGACAGAAGUGGCGGGCUCUGGUUUAUCAACAGUAGCAUGUUCACCCUCACAGGGCCCAUGAAAGGUUGAGAAGAAAACAGCCUCAUCCAGUCAGGUGCAGGAAGAGAAAGCUGUCUUUGGGAGGGCACAAGCUUGUCAGUAUGUCCUGUAGACACUAAUUCAGUGG
Molecule: long non-coding RNA, 876 nt
Organism: Limulus polyphemus (Atlantic horseshoe crab)
Lineage: Eukaryota; Metazoa; Arthropoda; Merostomata; Xiphosura; Limulidae
Exons: 3
Source: RefSeq, a predicted model, not a curated record